GCGUCAGUGGUGUAACGGAUAGAGCAUGCGCUCCCGGAAAGUGUGGUACGGGUUCUAGUCCCGCCUGACGCA
Molecule: non-coding RNA, 72 nt
Organism: Parelaphostrongylus tenuis
Lineage: Eukaryota; Metazoa; Nematoda; Chromadorea; Rhabditida; Metastrongylidae
Source: the annotation of a GenBank genome assembly